GUGAGACGGCCGUUGGUUUGGAAGGAGCAGAUUCAAAUUCCAGUGGAGCAACGGCAGAAAUCCGAGGAAACAUCAUAUUCGACGGGUUUCCUUCAACAACGUUACGAGUCAUCAGAGGAGGAGCCUAGUGAAUAAGUGUGAGUGUGAAGCUGUAGGCCUGGAGACCCAACUGCACGCUCAGACCUGCAAGCUCAGACCUGCACUUCUAGACCCAUCGUUUUCUCAGACAGUACCACCUGCUGUUGGGUUGGGGGAGGCGACAGCGACGGAGGCCCAACUGCACGCUCAGACCAGCACUUUCUAGCAAGCAGCAACAUCAAACAUGUGCUGCUUGCCUCCUCUGUCCAUUUUCCAUCAGUCUACACAGCAAAUAAGCAGAGCAGGUUGCACUGAGGUAUGCAAGUACUGUACAUUUUGACAGACAGUUAAAAUGUUCAUUGUAAAUUUAGACCAAAUCAAUCAAACACAGAUUUGAAACCACUUUAGCUAUUGUUGGUAUAAAGUUGUAAAAUUACUUUCAAGAUGGAUUUACAAACACCAGAAACACAAGCUAUUGACCAUGCUCAUGACUUUAAUAACAUUUAAACUUUCUAUUGUUUACCAUAUUCAUGGCAAAUUGUUGACUAUUAAAUGAUACGGUAAGAAAAUUAAACAAUAAAUCACUGUAAAAAUAAAUAUCCUUCAGAACACCAAAUUUAACAAUAACAAGCACUCAUUAAGCAAAAGACAGACUGGUCAAAGAAACGUGAAUAAUGAAUAAAAAAAAUCUAGUAAAUCAAUAC
RNAcentral lists this long non-coding RNA (782 nucleotides) under Danio rerio (zebrafish). Its description in RNAcentral is "si:ch211-126g16.8 (ENSDARG00000093180.3)". Lineage: Eukaryota; Metazoa; Chordata; Actinopteri; Cypriniformes; Danionidae. The record is from RNAcentral.